Non-coding RNA from Cinara cedri, 865 nucleotides. The record is from the annotation of a GenBank genome assembly. Lineage: Eukaryota; Metazoa; Arthropoda; Insecta; Hemiptera; Aphididae.
GACCGAUUAGGGUUGUAGAUACUUAAUAUAACCAUGGCUAUAAUCAUGGUUCUAUCUAUAACCAUGGCCAUAAAUUAAGAUCUAGAUUAUCUUGAUCCGUGACCAUGGCUAUUAAUAAUUAAAAAUGAAAAUUUAAUCUGUGAACAUCACUGAAAAUUUUGAUAAGGAUUCCAGAUUAAGGUGUUGUACAACCGGAAUACUGAAUAGAAAUAGAGAAAGAUAGGUAGAUACUAGAAGGAAAGAAAGAUAGGUGAAAAAACUACAAAAAGCAAUUUUUGGAUAAAGUAUUGAAAAAUUAUUUAAAUGAAGUACCGCUAUUAGUUUAUAAAUUUGUAUCUUUUAAUGUAGGUAUCUAUGACAUGAAUAAAUUAUAUUAAUAUUAAUACCAAUUGUAAAAUUGAAAUAAAAAACAUAUCCAAAAGAGAAAGAGAAAUGGAUUGGAAUUCUAGGACUCCAGGGGUUUAGGUAGGACCCACUUAGCGGAUACCGGGUGAAUGUAAGGGGACAUUAGUUCACUUGGACUUUUAUAAAAUCGUGCCCAUUAUUGAUUUUGCAGUUGACCAUAAUUAUCUUGUAGUUGUCCACAUACAUCUUGCUGUAGACCUGCGCUUUGCAUGGGUAUCCGAUACCGUUUCCUACGUCUAUACUUUUAUCUUAUUACCGUAACCGUAUUCGUCGGUAUACAAUGCAGUGGUAUCAUUUGAGGGAUUCAGAUUAAAAUUACUUAGCAAUAUUUUUUUAAAUGUAUGUUUGACCGCCGUCGAUAAAAUGUUAAUCACACGAAAGCUAACAUUGAAAUAUCGUCUUCAUUUGAUGAAAUGAAAUCUUAAAAAAAAGGAAACACGACUUCACUCAACAAUAGACC